CAAGGGGAUAAGUGCGGACGGUGCUAAAAAGUGGUAAUUUACUACGAGCCUGGGAUAAAACCCGAAGGUGUGUUAAUACNGGAUAAGACNACGGCANUGCGGUGCUGUGGGAAUGACCGCAAGGUCAAUUNGUAGAUGAGCCCGCGGCNUAUCAGCUAGUUGGUGAGGUAACGGCUCACCAAGGUACGACGGGUAGCUGGUCUGAGAGGACGACCAGCCACACUGGAACUGAGACACGGUCCAGACUCCUGCGGGAGGCAGCAGUGGGGAAUAUUGCGCAAUGGACGAAAGUCUGACGCAGCAACGCCGCGUGGGUGAUGAAGGCCUUCGGGUUGUAAAGCCCUGUCGCCCGGGACGAACAAGCUCGUGAAGAACGAGCCCUGACGGUACCGGGAGAGGAAGCACCGGCUAACUCUGUGCCAGCAGCCGCGGUAAUACAGAGGGUGCUAGCGUUGUUCGGAAUUAUUGGGCGUAAAGGGCGCGUAGGCGGCUUCGUAUGUCGGGUGUGAAAGCCCACCUCUUAAAGGUGGAAUUGCAUUCGAAACUACGGGGCUGGAGUGCCGGAGAGGAUGGUGGAAUUCCCUGGUGUAGAGGUGAAAU
Molecule: ribosomal RNA, 600 nt
Filed under: uncultured soil bacterium S0229
Lineage: Bacteria
Description: bacterial SSU rRNA
Rfam family: Bacterial small subunit ribosomal RNA
Source: RNAcentral